AUUGAACGCUGGCGGCAGGCCUAACACAUGCAAGUCGAGCGGUAGCACAGGGAGCUUGCUCCUGGGUGACGAGCGGCGGACGGGUGAGUAAUGUCUGGGAAACUGCCUGAUGGAGGGGGAUAACUACUGGAAACGGUAGCUAAUACCGCAUAACGUCGCAAGACCAAAGAGGGGGACCUUCGGGCCUCUUGCCAUCAGAUGUGCCCAGAUGGGAUUAGCUAGUAGGUGGGGUAACGGCCCACCUAGGCGACGAUCCCUAGCUGGUCGGAGAGGAUGGCCAGCCACCCGGGAACGGAGACACGGUCCAGACUCCGACGGGAGGGAGCAGUGGGCAAACUGGAACAAUGAGCGCGAGCCUGAUGCAGCCAUGCCGCGUGUAUGAAGAAGGACUUCGGGUUGUAAAGUACUUUCAGCGGGGAGGAAGGCGAUAAGGUUAAUAACCUUGUCGAUUGACGUUACCCGCAGAAGAAGCACCGGCUAACUCCGUGCCAGCAGCCGCCGUAA
Molecule: ribosomal RNA, 504 nt
Filed under: uncultured bacterium
Lineage: Bacteria
Description: partial 16S ribosomal RNA
Rfam family: Bacterial small subunit ribosomal RNA
Source: RNAcentral